CCUACGGGGUGCAGCAGUGAGGAAUAUUGGUCAAUGGGCGGAAGCCUGAACCAGCCAAUUCGCGUGAGGGAAUAAGGCCCUACGGGUCGUAAACCUCUUUUGCCGGGGAGCAAGGUCGGGGACGUGUCCCGUCCCGGAGAGUACCCGGAGUAAAAGCAUCGGCUAACUCCGUGCCAGCAGCCGCGGUAAUACGGAGGAUGCGAGCGUUAUUCGGAUUUAUUGGGUUUAAAGGGUGCGUAGGCGGGCUUUUAAGUCAGCGGUAAAAAUUCGGGGCUCAACCCCGUCCGGCCGUUGAGACUGGGGGACUUGAGUGGGAGAGAGGAAGGCGGAAUGCGUGGUGUAGCGGUGAAAUGCGUAGAUAUCACGCAGAACCCCGAUUGCGAAGGCAGCCUUCCGGCGCCCUACUGACGCUGAGGCACGAAAGUGCGGGGAUCGAACAGGAUUAGAUACCCGGGUAGUC
Molecule: ribosomal RNA, 460 nt
Filed under: uncultured bacterium
Lineage: Bacteria
Description: partial 16S ribosomal RNA
Rfam family: Bacterial small subunit ribosomal RNA
Source: RNAcentral